UACGUAGGUGGCAAGCGUUGUCCGGAUUUACUGGGCGUAAAGGGAGCGUAGGUGGAUAUUUAAGUGGGAUGUGAAAUACCCGGGCUUAACCUGGGUGCUGCACUCCAAACUGGAUACCUAGAGUGCAGGAGAGGAAAGGAGAAUUCCUAGUGUAGCGGUGAAAUGCGUAGAGAUUAGGAAGAAUACCAGUGGCGAAGGCGCCUUUCUGGACUGUAACUGACACUGAGGCUCGAAAGCGUGGGGAGCAAAACAGG
Molecule: ribosomal RNA, 254 nt
Filed under: uncultured microorganism
Description: partial small subunit ribosomal RNA
Rfam family: Bacterial small subunit ribosomal RNA
Source: RNAcentral